Haliotis rubra (blacklip abalone) is the source of this 459-nucleotide long non-coding RNA. RefSeq lists it as uncharacterized. Lineage: Eukaryota; Metazoa; Mollusca; Gastropoda; Lepetellida; Haliotidae. The transcript has 2 exons. The record is from RefSeq and is a predicted model, not a curated record.
AUAUUUUAUACCAGCUUCUCGGACCUCACAUGCUGCCCGUGCUACAUCAACAAGCACGUGCGCGAUUUCAUUUGCGAGUCUGAUUUCAUUCAAGGGUCUCUGUGACCUGUCCGGGUUUCUUCCACAGAUGUCACGAAUCUGUUCAGCAUUUUGCAAAGUAUCAUCUGUUUGCGAUUCGUCCACGGCAUUUAUUUUUUGUGUGGUUGGAAUUUGCAUGGAUUACUUAAAGAAGAUAUCACGACACUGAUUGUGAAGAAGAUAUUGGCCGAGAUCAAAUCGUCACACGCCUGUAUGAAGAGGAAAAGGUCACUUUCUGAGGAAAUACUCUCUGCAGCAUUCUGUGACAUCCACCGACAGUGCCUGGGACUGGACACUGAAUGUUAAAGUCAUCUGGCAACUCAUUGCCACUUACUAUUAAAGUUAAUAAAACAUGUGACCCAUGUGAUUGUUUAUUUGUGA